GGAUUGUGGCUCAGCGGUAGAGUGCUCUUUUAGCAAGGGAGGGACCUGGGUUCGAUUCUCAGCACCA
This 67-nucleotide transfer RNA is filed under the name Marmota monax (woodchuck). RNAcentral's name for it is "tRNA.Ala". The stretch from base 5 to 64 matches the Rfam family "tRNA", at positions 6 to 65 of the family's 71-position model. From Rfam's summary of the family: Transfer RNA (tRNA) molecules are approximately 80 nucleotides in length. Their secondary structure includes four short double-helical elements and three loops (D, anti-codon, and T loops). Further hydrogen bonds mediate the characteristic L-shaped molecular structure. tRNAs have two regions of fundamental functional importance: the anti-codon, which is responsible for specific mRNA codon recognition, and the 3' end, to which the tRNAs corresponding amino acid is attached (by aminoacyl-tRNA synthetases). tRNAs cope with the degeneracy of the genetic code in two manners: having more than one tRNA (with a specific anti-codon) for a particular amino acid; and 'wobble' base-pairing, i.e. permitting non-standard base-pairing at the 3rd anti-codon position. The record is from RNAcentral. Lineage: Eukaryota; Metazoa; Chordata; Mammalia; Rodentia; Sciuridae.